UACGUAGGGUGCGAGCGUUGUCCGGAAUUAUUGGGCGUAAAGAGCUUGUAGGCGGUCUGUCGCGUCUGCUGUGAAAAUCCGGGGCUCAACCCCGGACUUGCAGUGGGUACGGGCAGACUAGAGUGUGGUAGGGGAGACUGGAAUUCCUGGUGUAGCGGUGAAAUGCGCAGAUAUCAGGAGGAACACCAACGGCGAAGGCAGCUCUCUGGGACGUUACUGACGCUGAGACGCGAAAGCGUGGGGAGCAAACAGG
RNAcentral lists this ribosomal RNA (253 nucleotides) under uncultured bacterium. RNAcentral describes it as "partial 16S ribosomal RNA". It matches the Rfam family "Bacterial small subunit ribosomal RNA", at positions 524 to 776 of the family's 1533-position model. The record is from RNAcentral.